AACGAACGCUGGCGGCAGGCCUAAAACAUGCAAGUCGAACGGGUGUAGCAAUACAUCAGUGGCGCACGGGUGAGUAACGCGUGGGAACGUGCCCUUCAGUACGGGACAACGUCGGGAAACUGACGCUAAUACCGUAUAAUAUCUCCGGAUCAAAGAUUUAUCGCUGAAGGAGCGGCCCGCGUCUGAUUAGCUAGUUGGUGGGGUAAUGGCCUACCAAGGCUACGAUCAGUAGCUGGUCUGAGAGGAUGAUCAGCCACGACUGGGACUGAGACACGGCCCAGACUCCUACGGGAGGCAGCAGUUAGGAAUAUUGGACAAUGGGCGAAAGCCUGAUCCAGCCAUGCCGCGUGUGUGAUGAAGGCCCUAGGGUUGUAAAGCACUUUCGUUGGGGAUGAUAAUGACCGUAACCCAAAGAAGAAGCCACGGCUAAAUUCGUG
RNAcentral lists this ribosomal RNA (437 nucleotides) under uncultured bacterium. Its description in RNAcentral is "bacterial SSU rRNA". It matches the Rfam family "Bacterial small subunit ribosomal RNA", at positions 29 to 507 of the family's 1533-position model. The record is from RNAcentral.